RNAcentral lists this unclassified non-coding RNA (209 nucleotides) under Hevea brasiliensis (rubber tree). Lineage: Eukaryota; Viridiplantae; Streptophyta; Magnoliopsida; Malpighiales; Euphorbiaceae. The record is from RNAcentral.
CACCUCUUCAAAUGGAACAAAUGCAAAAGGCGCAAGACCCCUUUUGUGUGAUGUGCGUGAUAUCUCAUCCUCUUGCCAAUCUUCAACCACUCCAAUGAUGUCCUCUUCAGGCUCACUAACCCCAUUACUAUCCACUUUACUCGUAACAAGUGAGAGUAUAUCCAUCCGGUUGUUAGCCCCCGCAAUUGUUCCUCUUAACCUUAAACAGA